UCCUUGAUAGUCUAGUGGUUAUGGUAAGACAAUAAUACUUGAAACGUAAAAAAAUCAUCACUAAAAAUAUCCAGAUAUCCGCUUGUCACGCGGAUGGCCGGGGUUCGAUUCCCCGUCGGGGAG
This 123-nucleotide transfer RNA is filed under the name Endocarpon pusillum Z07020. Its description in RNAcentral is "tRNA-Und (NNN) (tRNA-Und-NNN-5-1)". It matches the Rfam family "tRNA". From Rfam's summary of the family: Transfer RNA (tRNA) molecules are approximately 80 nucleotides in length. Their secondary structure includes four short double-helical elements and three loops (D, anti-codon, and T loops). Lineage: Eukaryota; Fungi; Ascomycota; Eurotiomycetes; Verrucariales; Verrucariaceae. The record is from RNAcentral.